RNAcentral lists this ribosomal RNA (253 nucleotides) under uncultured bacterium. Its description in RNAcentral is "partial 16S ribosomal RNA". It matches the Rfam family "Bacterial small subunit ribosomal RNA", at positions 524 to 776 of the family's 1533-position model. The record is from RNAcentral.
UACGUAGGGGGCAAGCGUUGUCCGGAUUUAUUGGGCGUAAAGAGCUUGUAGGCGGUCUGUCGCGUCUGCUGUGAAAAUCCGGGGCUCAACCCCGGACUUGCAGUGGGUACGGGCAGACUAGAGUGUGGUAGGGGAGACUGGAAUUCCUGGUGUAGCGGUGAAAUGCGCAGAUAUCAGGAGGAACACCGAUGGCGAAGGCAGGUCUCUGGGCCACUACUGACGCUGAGGAGCGAAAGCGUGGGUAGCAAACAGG